UAAAGUCUAACACAAUUCAACCAGAUAAUGUCACAUACCAUUUAUCAAAUAUAUGCGCAUUUACCCUAAUGUAUCUAAUGCCAAUCAUUCUAUGUCAUGUCAUCCCUAGACACGACUAAUGCAUGUGGUACCAAUUGCCUCUUACCCCUCAUGGAUAAGUUAAACAGUUUUACAUCUUGCAGGAUUGUUCGGAACUUACCAAACCUUCAUAUCCCUCAUGGAUAAGUUAAACAGUUUUAUAUCCUGCUGGAUAGCAGCUCUAGAUCUUAUGGAUUCAUCUAAUCCGAUCCUCGGCUUCCUUAUGGACUCAAAAAUCCAUUUAAAUCUAUUGGAACCCAAGUUUCCAAUUCAACAUAUAUAUGCAUGAAUGCAUGUAUGUUUGCACAUAUCAUCAAUAUGAUAUUUCUAGCUCGAAGCUACUCAUUAUGAAUGCGG
RNAcentral lists this long non-coding RNA (435 nucleotides) under Trifolium pratense (red clover). RNAcentral's name for it is "long non-coding RNA (TPRA_LNC005166)". The record is from RNAcentral. Lineage: Eukaryota; Viridiplantae; Streptophyta; Magnoliopsida; Fabales; Fabaceae.